This 427-nucleotide ribosomal RNA is filed under the name uncultured prokaryote. Its description in RNAcentral is "bacterial SSU rRNA". It matches the Rfam family "Bacterial small subunit ribosomal RNA", at positions 355 to 774 of the family's 1533-position model. The record is from RNAcentral.
UAGGGAAUAUUGGACAAUGGGCGAAAGCCUGAUCCAGCCAUGCCGCGUGAGUGAUGAAGGCCUUCGGGUUGUAAAACUCUUUUCUGAGGGAAGAACAUCCAGGGUAGGAAAUGAUCCUGGCUUGACGGUACCUCAGGAAUAAGCAACGGCUAACUCCGUGCCAGCAGCCGCGGUAAUACGGAGGUUGCGAGCGUUGUUCGGAAUUACUGGGCGUAAAGGGAGCGUAGGCGGUAUGUUAAGUCUGAAGUGAAAGCCCGGGGCUCAACCCCGGAAGUGCUUUGGAUACUGGCAAACUGGAGUGCGCGAGAGGAGAGCGGAAUUCAGGGUGUAGCGGUGAAAUGCGUAGAUAUCCUGAGGAACACCGGUGGCGAAAGCGGCUCUCUGGCGCGACACUGACGCUGAGGCUCGAAAGCGUGGGUAGCAAACG